RNAcentral lists this ribosomal RNA (433 nucleotides) under uncultured bacterium. RNAcentral's name for it is "partial 16S ribosomal RNA". It matches the Rfam family "Bacterial small subunit ribosomal RNA", at positions 29 to 507 of the family's 1533-position model. The record is from RNAcentral.
AACGAACGCUGGCGGCAUGCCUAACACAUGCAAGUCGAACGAGACCUUCGGGCCUAGUGGCGCACGGGUGCGUAACGCGGGGGAAUCUGCCCUUGGGUUCGGAAUAACAGUUGGAAACGACUGCUAAUACCGGAUGAUGACGUAAGUCCAAAGAUUUAUCGCCCAAGGAUGAGCCCGCGUAGGAUUAGCUAGUUGGUGAGGUAAAGGCCCACCAAGGCGACGAUCCUUAGCUGGUCUGAGAGGAUGAUCAGCCACACUGGGACUGAGACACGGCCCAGACUCCUACGGGGGGCAGCAGUGGGGAGUAUUAGACGAUGGGCGAAAGCCUGAUCCAGCAGUGCCGCGUGAGUGAUGAAGGCCUUAGGGUUGUAAAGCUCUUUUACCCGGGAUGAUAAUGACGGUACCGGGAGAAUAAGCUCCGGCUAACUCCGUG